CAAUAUGGAGGCUUUUUACAGCAGAUUCCGGUACAGAGUCCAUAUGGAGGCUAUUUACAGCAGUUUCCGGUACAGAGUCAAUAUGGAGGCUAUAUACAGCAGGUUCCGGUACAGAGUCAAUAUGGAGGCUAUAUACAGCAGGUUCCGGUACAGAGUCUAUUUGGAGGCUAUAUACAGCAGCAGAUUCCGGUACAGAGUCAAUAUGGAGGCUAUAUACAGCAGGUUCCGGUACAGAGUCAAUAUGGAGGCUAUAUACAGCAGGUUCCGGUACAGAGUCAAUAUGGAGGCUAUAUACAGCAGAUUCCGGUACAGAGUCAAUAUGGAGGCUAUAUACAGCAGGUUCCGGUACAGAGUCAAUAUGGAGGCUAUAUACAGCAGGUUCUGGUACAGAGUCAAUAUGGAGGCUAUAUACAGCAGGUUCCAGUACAGAUUCAAUAUGGCUAUAUAUAGCAGGUUCCGAUACAGAGUCAAUAUGGAGGCUAUAUACAGCAGGUUCCGGUACAGAGUCAAUAUGGAGGCUAUAUACAGCAGAUUCCGGUACAGAGUCAAUAUGGAGGCUAUAUACAGCAGAUUCCGGUACAGAGUCAAUAUGGAGGCUAUAUGCAGCAGAUUCUGGGAAAGAAUCAAUAUGUAGGCUAUAUACAGCAGGUUCCAGUACAGUCAAUAUGGCUAUAUACAGCAGGUUCCGGUACAGAGUCAAUAUGGAGGCUAUAUGCAGCAGAUUCCGGUACAGAGUCAAUAUGGAGGCUAUAUACAGCAGGUUCCGGUACAGAGUCAAUAUGGAGGCUAUAUACAGCAGGUUCCAGUACAGAGUCAAUAUGGAGGCUAUAUGCAGCAGAGUCCGGUACAGAGUAAAUAUGCAGGCUAUAUACAGCAGGUUCUGAUACAGAGUCAAUAUGCGGGGGCACCG
Molecule: long non-coding RNA, 910 nt
Organism: Oncorhynchus tshawytscha (Chinook salmon)
Lineage: Eukaryota; Metazoa; Chordata; Actinopteri; Salmoniformes; Salmonidae
Source: Ensembl